Molecule: long non-coding RNA, 527 nt
Filed under: Gallus gallus (chicken)
Lineage: Eukaryota; Metazoa; Chordata; Aves; Galliformes; Phasianidae
Source: RNAcentral
UGAUACCUCCUCUCCGUGUCUCCAGUAGUUCUAUGCAAGAAGGGACAUUCAUCUCCUUCUGGGCAGAUUCCCGUGGUCUCGUCAUACUUGGUACAGUAAAUGUCAGGGCUGUAGUUAAACGUCCCAUCCCGACGGCGGAUGGAUCUGCGACGACGCUGGUUGACAAAGUGCCAAUGGAAGCAAGUGUAGGGCCGGUGCUGAGUGCACUUGUGCUGCACGAAGAGAGGGCACUGCUCCGUGCGGAACUCCUUCAGGUAAGUGUAGUGCUGCGGCUUCUCGGGCUGCGCCUGCAGCGCGCUGGCGGCGUUCGCCGGCCCGGCCGCGGCAGGGCCGCUCGCCACCGGGCCCUUGGACAUGCCUCCUGCCCGCCGCCGCCGCUCCCGCCGACGAGACCUUUAUUAUUCACUCUGCGCGGUCCGCACGGAGGGCGCCGCGCGCAGGCGCCGCCGCCGCCAUUGCCGCCCCGGUGCGCGGGGUGGGGUGGGACUUGUAGUCCGGCCGCGCGCGCGCUCUCCGCCAACCCGGGA